CUAACAUAAGUUAGGUCAAAAUCCCCUGAUGUAGGGAUGGUAGAAGGCAAAGCAAAACUUGACAGAAGAGUGUAGUUAGCCUAUGCCUAAGCUGGGGAGAGAAGACUGGCAUUCAACCUAUAAAAACAUGUGCAUCCCCCAGACCCAGACUGUCAGCCCUAGGUCCAUUCCAGAGACCACACACUGUCUGAUAGCCCCACCACACCUGGAGGGUUGCGAGCAGCCUCAGUAAGGAAGGCUGAUGUGUCAUCGCUGCCAGUCUGCUGCCAGUCUGCACCAGAGUUGAUUGUAUGUAGCAUCACAAGCUGCUUCCCAUUGCUGCUGAUUGAUCUCCAUCAUGUGCUCAGCUACUGGGAUGUCGACAGCUAUCUUAGGUAGGCAAGUACUCUGCUCACUUGUAGCUUGCGUGCUGGCAUC
This is a non-coding RNA of Pelobates cultripes (western spadefoot toad), 417 nucleotides long. NCBI's taxonomy places the organism in Eukaryota, Metazoa, Chordata, Amphibia, Anura, Pelobatidae. The record is from the annotation of a GenBank genome assembly.